UAAAAGCUUGCUUUUAAAAGGUUAGCGGCGGACGGGUGAGUAACACGUGGGCAACCUGCCUGUAAGACUGGGAUAACGCCGGGAAACCGGGGCUAAUACCAGAUAGUUUUUUCCUCCGCAUGGAGGAGAAAGGAAAGGCGGCUUCGGCUGCCACUUACAGAUGGGCCCGCGGCGCAUUAGCUAGUUGGCGGGGUAACAGCCCACCAAGGCAACGAUGCGUAGCCGACCUGAG
RNAcentral lists this ribosomal RNA (232 nucleotides) under Heyndrickxia coagulans. Its description in RNAcentral is "partial 16S ribosomal RNA". It matches the Rfam family "Bacterial small subunit ribosomal RNA", at positions 73 to 296 of the family's 1533-position model. The record is from RNAcentral. Lineage: Bacteria; Bacillati; Bacillota; Bacilli; Caryophanales; Bacillaceae.